GAUGAACGCUGGCGGCGUGCCUAAUACAUGCAAGUCGAGCGAACAGACGAGGAGCUUGCUCCUCUGACGUUAGCGGCGGACGGGUGAGUAACACGUGGAUAACCUACCUAUAAGACUGGGAUAACUUCGGGAAACCGGAGCUAAUACCGGAUAAUAUAUUGAACCGCAUGGUUCAAUAGUGAAAGACGGUUUUGCUGUCACUUAUAGAUGGAUCCGCGCCGCAUUAGCUAGCUGGUAAGGUAACAGCUUACCAAGGCGACGAUGCGUAGCCGACCUGAGAGGGUGAUCGGCCACACUGGAACUGAGACACGGUCCAGACUCCUACGGGAGGCCGCAGUAGGGAAUCUUCCGCAAUGGGCGGAAGCCUGACGGAGCAACGCCGCGUGAGUGAUGAAGGUCUUCGGAUCGUAAAACUCUGUUAUUAGGGAAGAACAAAUGUGUAAGUAACUAUGCACGUCUUGACGGUACCUAAUCAGAAAGCCACGGCUAACUACGUG
RNAcentral lists this ribosomal RNA (497 nucleotides) under uncultured bacterium. RNAcentral describes it as "partial 16S ribosomal RNA". It matches the Rfam family "Bacterial small subunit ribosomal RNA", at positions 28 to 507 of the family's 1533-position model. The record is from RNAcentral.